UUGGUGUAAAUACAAGGCCUCUUUAUUUUGUUUCCACAGUACAUGACUUCCCAUUUAGCAUGAUCAAAACCAAGCAGAACAGCAGAAAUCGCAUAAGCCAUCUUUAUCUAAUACAUUGCUCUUCUUUGAAACUACAUGAGUACAACAGGAAGGAUAAAUUCAACAUUAACUCCGGUUAGGCACUUUUCACAAACGAAAGAACCAGAGCCUGCACACAACAGGCAAGAAGCAGACAAAACCAAGGACGAGAAUCAGGAAAGCUUACUCCACUGAGAUGUCAACAUUCCUUUGGGGAAAGAAGGUUUGUCUUGAAGCAAGGGCUGAAAACUUCCCCAGCUAAGGAGUAUGUGCAUCCACUUUUUAAAAGCGUCAUCAGUAAAAGCUUUCUAAGGAAGAUACAACCCAGCUCUGAAGCCACAAAGCCAGAUAGCACACAGAGAUCAAAGACUUCUUUUGUCACUAAGAUUGGUCUGUUCUAGUGAAGGUUUGUAUCUAGGAAGCUUUUGUACCUAAAUGUGCCUAGGAGCAAUGGGCUAAGCAAAGCCUUUGGUGACUUAAGUGCAGAUAAGGUAAAACAUUGUUAUGUUUUUGUUAGCUGCUCACGGUUUGUGUCCUGGUCUUUUACGUCCUGAUCUUGGCUGGGUUUAAUUGUUAUGAGCUGACUUGAGUCAUUAAGCCAAAUCACUGAGUGAGCACAAAUAUUUUGAGUUGUUUCAGGCAGCCAGGUGUAAUAGGGCCUUUUAGCCCUAUCUUUCUCUCAACUCCACUCAUUCAGCAGUUACUUUCAACCUAAAACCAGGAGUAGGAGAAACCAUGGUCUAAAGCCAGAAUAAAAGUGAGUCCUGACCACUUUGAGGAGGAUGUGUGAGUCUAGACCUGACUAUUGCAUUUGCUUCUACAGAAGUGACUGCCCCUGCAGAAGCCACAGGGGACCUCUUUGGUUGGAGUACACUCUGAUUCAGGGCCUUUUCCAAGAAAGAAUUUCCACCAAAAUUUCCAGGAGACUGCACUCCAAAAACAUUGCUCAGCUUUUUGAGAAAAAAAAACCCUAACAGUGCCAUUAACUUUACACAACAGAUUGUUGUUGAUGGUGCUGAUGUCCUUUUGGCUUCCCAAGAAUUGUUGAUGUCGUUAUUGGGUUUUGUAUAGACAGCCAAUGUCACCUGCUGGCUUCACUGCUGAGAGAAGCACGAGCUGUUGCACAUACAGUGCCAGGGCUUAAAAAAGCUCCAACUUUAAGCCAAAGUACCUAGUACCUAGAAAUUUAUUAUCAGCUAUGUGCUAGUGUAAUUUAAAACCCUGUGCUCUCUGCAGUGCACUUAACUUCAAAACAGUCUGAUUUUUUAAGAUAGCUAGCUUAUUUUCAGUUACUGUAGUCACACCACACGCUUGUCUUCCAGUGUCCAACUCAGUCAUCACUGCUCCACCAGGCACGUGACAGAGGAGAUGUCUGAAGCAUGCAGGAGCACAGACUCUACCCCAGGACGAGGCUAGUUCAGUCUCUGAGCUGGCCAAUGCCAAAUGCUUCAUAGGAUAUUUGGAGAUAAAGCAUAACCUGCCCUUGCAUGAGGUUUCUUCUGGAGUUUUUACAAUUUUGAAGUAGAGGUUGAAAAGUGUGAUGUAAUUAUGUUAGGAUUAGCUACAAUUAUUUGGGCUUGUAUUAUUAAGCAUGUAAGUAACUACUUGGGAAAUGUGCUCAGUUGUUGGGCAUCAAUGGCUUUCAGAAGGAAUGAGGUCUGUGAUUUAACAGAACAUUGCCUGAAAAUGUAUCUUCUUUUCUGAGGACUUCCCACCUAAAACUUCACUGUCAUCUUGUUCCUGAGUUCUUCUGAUAUAGCUUCUUUCUGCUUUGCAUUAUUUUGUAUUCUGAUACCACCCUUUUAAAAUAUUUUUUAUUUUUUUUCCCCUUUCCAUGGUCCUGUCUCAAAUUUUCAAAAUCCCUUGGCUUUUCCUACCUUUUUUUUUUUUUAAAAAAAUACCUCUACUUGUACACUAUCAUUUGAGAUGAGUUGACCACUGCUACACACAGGCUGCAGAUAAGGCAGCACUGUUUAUUCAUAGAAAUCCAGUAUUUUAAAAGCUGUCCACCAUAUCAUCUGUUAUGGAUUGUUCCUGGAAAUGCUCAAACCAAUAUUUUUAAACAGCUUGUUUGAGUAAUGUUGUUAAUAUAUUUCAUUUUAAAACUGGGAUAUUCUUUGAAAGACAAUACACAAGUCUUCUUUUCAAGACUUGUGUAUUGUUUUUGAAUGUAUGAUCAGAAUACUUACAUUCUCCUUUGUGCAGUAAAACAGUAGAUAUUUAGCAAGAAUUACUACCUUUUUGCUAAUCCACAUUGCAUAAUCACAAUUAAAAUACAAAAGAAUCUAUUUCUCUGUAAAUAUUUUAAAAUUAAAACGUUACUUCAUGUGAGCUUUCAUUAAACCAUUAUAAUUUUUUCAUUCAUGACUAUAAUCAGGCACAGACUUUUACACAGGGUCAGUUUAACAUUUCUUUUUUUUAACAAUAAGUCCACUUACAAUACAAUAAUGAAAAUGUUCAGUCCAGUGAGCAAACACAUAUUUUUCCCCCUACAAAGCUUUCUGGUUGCACAAACCCCACAGAAUAAAUAUAACCCAAAUGUUGCUUUAGGUCAAGACAACAUUUUAAAGUGCAGAACUCCACUUGCCACACAUGAAUAAUUCAAAUAAUGCUGCAUAAUGCAUAGGCAAUACUUACUAGCAUUUCAUUAAUAAUCAAAACCUAAAGUGACACAAUGAGAUCAACCUGUAACAGUAAUUUAAAUACAUUCCAUUUAUAAUAAGUGCUCAUCUGAACAUAGAACACAGUAAGCAUAUUGUCCCAACACGCAAGCUUUCCACAAACUACCCUUUUCUUUGUCUGAAUGGAGUGCUAACUUUGAACACAAAAGACACAUUAAGAAACAAAGAUCAAUCCACAAGCUGGCAAUAGAACUAAUAGGGAGUGACAUUUGGAAACCGCUGUGUGUACAUUUUUCCAGAGGUUUUAUUUUCAGUCUGUAUCACUGUGUCAAUUUAUACUGACUGAAAAUUGUCCCUUUCUUUUCUUCCACUUACUCAUCUCUCCUCAGUGUUUGGUUGCUUAAUUUUAACUUUCUUUUUUUUUUUUUUUUUUUCCUCUUAAGAAGAGGAAGGAAGAGGGAAGGAGGAUGCUUUUAUUUGUCUUCAGCUACUAAGUUCUAUGACAAUAAAGAUGGAGGGAAAAUAGUCCCAAGUCCUCAGCUCCAUCUCC
Molecule: long non-coding RNA, 3249 nt
Filed under: Strigops habroptila (Kakapo)
Lineage: Eukaryota; Metazoa; Chordata; Aves; Psittaciformes; Psittacidae
Description: lncRNA (ENSSHBG00005014375.1)
Source: RNAcentral